GAUACCCUGGUAGUCCAUGCCGUAAACGUUGGGCACUAGGUGUGGGGACCAUUCCACGGUUUCCGCGCCGCAGCUAACGCAUUAAGUCGCCCCGCCGUGGGAGUACGGCCGCGUCGACCUACAAAUGAAUUGACGGGGGCCCGCACAAGCGGUGGAGCAUGUGGUUUAAUUCGAAGCAACGCGAAGAACCUUACCAGGCCUUGACAUGCAGAGAACUUUCCAGAGAUGGAUUGGUGCCUUCGGGAACUCUGACACAGGUGCUGCAUGGCUGUCGUCAGCU
RNAcentral lists this ribosomal RNA (280 nucleotides) under uncultured bacterium. RNAcentral describes it as "partial small subunit ribosomal RNA". It matches the Rfam family "Bacterial small subunit ribosomal RNA", at positions 781 to 1060 of the family's 1533-position model. The record is from RNAcentral.